AACUUUCGACAACGGAUCUCUUGGUUCUGGCAUCGAUGAAGAACACAGCGAAAUGCGAUAAUUAAUGUGAAUUGCAGAAUUUAGUGAAUCAUCGAAUCUUUGAACGCACAUUGCGCCCCUUGGUAUUCCGGGGGGCAUGCCUGUUCGAGCGUCAUUUCAACCCUCAAGCUCUGCUUGGUCUUGGGCCACGCCGGCAACGGCGGGCCUCAAACUCAGUGGCGGUGCCAUCGUGUCCCUCAGCGUAGUAAUUCUUCUCGUUGUUGGGUUUCGGUGGUCGCUGGCCAGCAACCCCCAAUUUUCUAUGGUUGACCUCGGAUCAGGUAGGGAUACCCGCUGAACUUAAGCAUAUCAAUAAGCGGAGGCU
RNAcentral lists this unclassified non-coding RNA (364 nucleotides) under uncultured Chalara. Its description in RNAcentral is "sequence contains ITS2". The stretch from base 1 to 154 matches the Rfam family "5.8S ribosomal RNA". The record is from RNAcentral. Lineage: Eukaryota; Fungi; Ascomycota; Leotiomycetes; Helotiales.